GACACAGGGAGGUAGUGACAAGAAAUAACAAUACGGGGCUUAAUGUCUUGUAAUUGGAAUGAUGGGAAUUUAAACCUCUUCCAGAGUAUCAAUUGGAGGGCAAGUCUGGUGCCAGCAGCCGCGGUAAUUCCAGCUCCAAUAGCGUAUAUUAAAAUUGUUGCAGUUAAAAAGCUCGUAGUUGAAUUUCUGCUGCAUUACAUAUCUCUUGUUUGAGUUUGUUUUUGUGGCUUAUUUCGGUUUGAUUUUUUUCUUUCCGGAUGAUUACUUUGAGAAAAUUAGAGUGCUCAAAGCAGGCUUUUGCCUUGAAUAGUUUAGCAUGCAAUAAUAAAGUAGGACUUUGGUUCUAUUUUGUUGGUUUUAGGUACCAAAGUAAUGGUAAUAGGAACAGUUGGGGCUUUAA
This 400-nucleotide ribosomal RNA is filed under the name Theileria sp. RNAcentral's name for it is "SSU rRNA". It matches the Rfam family "Eukaryotic small subunit ribosomal RNA", at positions 453 to 893 of the family's 1831-position model. The record is from RNAcentral. Lineage: Eukaryota; Apicomplexa; Aconoidasida; Piroplasmida; Theileriidae.